This 742-nucleotide long non-coding RNA is filed under the name Homo sapiens (human). RNAcentral's name for it is "testis expressed 41". The record is from RNAcentral. Lineage: Eukaryota; Metazoa; Chordata; Mammalia; Primates; Hominidae.
CACUCAGCUUUCUGAAAUGGUGUCCCACCGCAAGGACUGGAGAAGGGCACCCUUGGAAAUGCAAUGCUACAUCUCAAUGGGAUUUUCCAGUACAAAGAUUCUUUUCAAAUAACAUAAUUGUGGAUACACACCACUCCUACAGUGGUAAACCUCAGGUUCUCCUCCUGCCUUUUGCUAAGUAUAUGUCUUGAUGACAAGCCUUCUGCUGAUGAGCUGUGUUUCUGGACCGAUCAUGGUAGAAGUCAAUUAACGUGUCCCUCACUUGGGGUUUCUCAAGGGAGUCUCACUCUGUCGUCCAGGCUGGAGUGCAGUGGCACAAUCUCGGCUCACUGCAAGCUCUGCCUCCCAGGUUCACGCCAUUCUCCUGCCUCAGUCUCCCAACUGCACUGAUGAGGAAACUGAAACAGAAAAUCCAGAGUAAAUUCCACCAGGCCACACAGCAAGGUCUGAUAGAGCCAGGAGAGACUUUAUGAAAUCCAGACUCUCACACUAAUGCUCUAUCAGCUAGACCUCCAUGUGAGUCUCCCCAAUGUAGGUAGGAAGUGCUUUCCCUAAAAUGCUCAUAAAGCAAAUCAGAGCAAUGCUGCAUUCCAUGUGAUUUCUAAUUUGAAAUGCAAACAAUUGCCAAUUUGUUUGACUUGUAUUUAUAAUUAUUUCCUUGUGAAUUACUCAUCACUAAAUGCUUUAUAAAUAUUUUCUCUUUUUUUCCUCAAUGUCUAUGGAAUGAUCACAGCAUAGAAAA